Molecule: ribosomal RNA, 465 nt
Filed under: uncultured bacterium
Lineage: Bacteria
Description: partial 16S ribosomal RNA
Rfam family: Bacterial small subunit ribosomal RNA
Source: RNAcentral
CCUACGGGUGGCAGCAGUAGGGAAUCUUCCACAAUGGGCGAAAGCCUGAUGGAGCAACGCCGCGUGGGUGCAGAAGGUCUUCGGAUCGUAAAACCCUGUUGUUAGAGAAGAAAGUGCGUGAGAGUAACUGUUCACGUUUCGACGGUAUCUAACCAGAAAGCCACGGCUAACUACGUGCCAGCAGCCGCGGUAAUACGGAGGGUGCAAGCGUUAAUCGGAUUUCUUGGGCGUAAAGGGCACGCAGGCGGUCUUUUAAGUCUUGUGUGAAAGCCGUCGGCUUAACCUGAGUAGUGCAUUUGAAACUGGGAGACUUGAGUGUGUAAGAGGAGAGUGGAACUCCAGGUGUAGCGGUGAAAUGCGUAGAUAUAUGGAAGAACACCAGUGGCGAAGGCGGCUCUCUGGCACGUAACUGACGCUGAGGUGCGAAAGCGUGGGUAGCAAACAGGAUUAGAUACCCCUGUAGUC